UNUGGUCUGUAACUGACGCUGAGGCUNGAAGGCGUGGGGAGCGAACUGGAUUAGAUACCCUGGUAGUNCACGCCGUAAACGAUGAGUGCUAGGUGUUGGAUCCUUUCCGGGAUUCAGUGCCGCAGCUAACGCAUUAAGCACUCCGCCUGGGGAGUACGACCGCAAGGUUGAAACUCAAAGGAAUUGACGGGGGCCCGCACAAGCGGUGGAGCAUGUGGUUUAAUUCGAAGCAACGCGAAGAACCUUACCAGGUCUUGACAUCCCGAUGCUAUUUCUAGAGAUAGGAAGUUACUUCGGUACAUCGGUGACAGGUGGUGCAUGGUUGUCGUCAGCUCGUGUCGUGAGAUGUUGGGUUANNNNNNNNNNNGAGCGCAACCCCUAUUGUUAGUUGCCAUCAUUCAGUUGGGCACUCUAGCGAGACUGCCGGUAAUAAACCGGAGGAAGGUGGGGAUGACGUCAAAUCAUCAUGCCCCUUAUGACCUGGGCUACACACGUGCUACAAUGGUUGGUACAACGAGUUGCGAGUCGGUGACGGCGAGCUAAUCUCUUAAAGCCAAUCUCAGUUCGGAUUGUAGGCUGCAACUCGCCUACAUGAAGUCGGAAUCGCUAGUAAUCGCGGAUCAGCACGCCGCGGUGAAUACGUUCCCGGGCCU
This 653-nucleotide ribosomal RNA is filed under the name uncultured bacterium. Its description in RNAcentral is "partial 16S ribosomal RNA". It matches the Rfam family "Bacterial small subunit ribosomal RNA", at positions 728 to 1381 of the family's 1533-position model. The record is from RNAcentral.